Molecule: ribosomal RNA, 1419 nt
Filed under: Pseudomonas sp.
Lineage: Bacteria; Pseudomonadati; Pseudomonadota; Gammaproteobacteria; Pseudomonadales; Pseudomonadaceae
Description: partial 23S ribosomal RNA
Rfam family: Bacterial large subunit ribosomal RNA
Source: RNAcentral
CGUGAAAUCCUGUCUGAACAUGGGGGGACCACCCUCCAAGCCUAAGUACUCCUCAAUGACCGAUAGUGAACAAGUACCGUGAGGGAAAGGUGAAAAGCACCCCGACAAGGGGAGUGAAACAGAUCCUGAAAUCGGAAGCCUACAAGCAGUCGGAGCACCCAAGCGGUGUGACGGCGUACCUUUUGUAUAAUGGGUCAGCGACUUCAUGUUACGAGCAAGCUUAAGCCGUUAGGCGUAGGCGCAGCGAAAGCGAGUCUGAAUAGGGCGCUCGAGUUCGUGGCAUGACGACCCGAAACCAGGUGAUCUAUCCAUGAGCAGGUUGAAGGCUGGGUAACACCAGCUGGAGGACCGAACCCGUGAAUGUUGAAAAAUUCUGGGAUGACUUGUGGAUAGGGGUGAAAGGCCAAUCAAACCUGGACAUAGCUGGUUCUCCGCGAAAUCUAUUUAGGUAGAGCCUCGGACGAAUUCCUUAGGGGGUAGAGCACUGGAUGGAUGCGGGCUGCGCGAGUGGUACCAAUUCUAACCAAACUCCGAAUACCUAAGAGAACUAUCCGGGAGACACACGGCGGGUGCUAACGUCCGUCGUGAAAAGGGAAACAACCCUAACCAUCGUCUAAGGCCCCCAAGUAACGGCUAAGUGGGAAACGAUGUGGGACUACUUUGACAACCAGGAGGUUGGCUUAGAAGCAGCCAUCCUUUAAAGAAAGCGUAACAGCUCACUGGUCUAGUGGUCCUGCGCGGAAAAUGUAACGGGGCUAAAGCCGUUCGCCGAAGACAUGGGCUCAGCAAUGAGCGGUAGCGGAGCGUUCCGUAGGCCUGUGAAGGUAAGGCGUGAGCCUUGCUGGAGGUAUCGGAAGUGAGAAUGCUGACAUGAGUAACGACAAACAGUGUGAGAAACACUGUCGCCGAAAGACCAAGGGUUCCUGCGUAAAGCUAAUCUGCGCAGGGUUAGCCGGCCCCUAAGGCGAGGCCGAAAGGCGUAGUCGAUGGGAACCAGGUAUAAUAUUCCUGGGCCAGUCAGAAGUGACGAAUGACGUAACUUGUCUCCCCUUAUUGGAUUGGUGGGGGCAGGGAAGUUGUUCCUGGAAAUAACUCUGACGGAGACCGUACCCGAAACCGACACAGGUGGUCAGGUAGAGUAUACCAAGGCGCUUGAGAGAACUAUGCUGAAGGAACUCGGCAAAUUGCACGCGUAACUUCGGGAUAAGCGUGACUCUGUUUAGGGCAACCUUUGCAGAGUGGCACAGGCCAGGGGGUAGCGACUGUUUAGCAAAAACACAGGGCUCUGCGAAGCCGCAAGGCGACGUAUAGGGUCUGACGCCUGCCCGGUGCCGGAAGGUUAAAGGGAGGAGUGCAAGCUCCGAACUGAAGCCCCGGUAAACGGCGGCCGUAACUAUAACGGUCCUAAGGUAGCGAAAU